UUCCCCCCAAAUCCUCAAUUAAUGAUUUUUUUUUCUCCCUGCUUGAGCCUUCUCAUCUCUUAAACGAUGUCCUCCUGUUUCAAUCAUUAGUAAUCCGAGCAUGCUUUUAAUUUUUGAUUGCCUCAUUGUUAAAAGGAAGAUGAUUUUUCUCUCGACUCAUGUUCUGCUCUCUUUUUGAUAUCUUCUCUCUUCCUCUCUACUUUCAACGUUUGGUGGUGUCAUUUAAACGAAAGGUCACGCCGCUUCUUUGGGAUAGGAUCAGGGUUUCCUUUUCUCAUCAUUGCCACGAACUCGUCGUAGUUUAUCCGACCAUCCUGCAUCAGAGAUUUUGGUUAUGUUAAUAAUGAGGUUGUUAGAUGCUUUGUUUCGGUUUGAAGGGGGAGUGUUGUUUUCUUACAUUGUCUCCAUCGACCUCUGAAAUUAUCUCUUUAAUGUCUCUGCCAUCGUUCAUCCCAAACUCCCGGAGGGCUUGUUCCAGCUCUUCCAUAGUAAUAUAUCUGGGAUCAACAAGCAUCAUUUGAGGUGUUCAUUUGGAUUCAUAGCAAGCUUUGUACUUCUGUCUUUGGUGUUUGAAGUAUGUUAAGAAUCAUUUAUAUACAGUGCUUACCCGCUGUUGUCUUUGUCAAAGUGUUGGAAGGCUGAGUAGAGAUGUUCUUCUCUGUCAAGUCUGUUGAUAUGCAUUGUGGCUGCGAUAAACUCACCAUAGUCUAUUGUUCCAUUACCAUCAGCAUCAGCCUGUUCCAUCAAGAGUAAAAACAGAAAACUAGUGGUGAGUCUGCUUCCUUGUUGCCAGCAUAUGACAGAGGGUAAAAUUGUUGUUAGUAAGCAAAGGGCUUACAGCUUCCAUUAGUUGCUGGACUUCGUACUCUGACAACCUUGUACCUUGCUUAGCGAGUCCCUGUCUUAGCUCCUCGAGUGUAAUCGUUCCACUGUUGUCAGUGUCCAUACCUUUAAACAUCUCCUUCAACCCCAUGAUCUCUUCCUCUGAUAAGCAGCCUGCUAUCACCCUCAAUGCAACUUUCUUGAAAUUGUUCAUUGCUUUGAAUUGCUUGAGCCUGGACAUCACCGCAUUGUCAAGAGGAACAUCUGGUGCUUCUCCAUCUUCCUUGAUCCAUGGAUGAUCUUAACAAAAGAGAGAGAAAACAUUAAUUAUCAUGGAAAGGGAUUGUUAUACUUUAUUGGUGUGUUUUGUAGAUGCUUACUGAGAACUUGAGCAGCAGUUAGUCUUUGCUUGGGAUCAGAGUUGAGCAUCUUCUUAACAAGAUCCUUCGCCUGAGGUGAGAUGGAUGGCCAUGGAUCACUUGAGAAAUCAACAUGGCUCUUUAAGAUGGCGUUGAAUAUCCCAUUCUCCGAUUCUAUAAUCAUCAGGUAAUAAUCACAACACAUUAAUAUGUUUAAACAAAAUCAUCUCUACAUAUAUUUAUAAUCUCGUUUUCUUUUGUAGACAAAGAAGAACUUUACCAGCCCAGAAGGGAGGGACACCACAUAAGAGGAUAUACAACAUGACACCAAUACUCCAAAUAUCAGCUUCAGGUCCAUACUUCCUCUUCAAAACCUCAGGCGCUAUGUAAUAAGCACUACCCACAAUAUCCUUAAACACCUCUCCGGGCUUGUAGAAAACAGACAACCCAAAGUCAGUGGCCUUGAGAGGAGCCUUCUCGUCUUUGCUGAGCAACAAAAAGUUCUCAGGCUUCAAAUCCCUAUGAAUAACCCCCAUGGAAUGACAAGUAUGCACAAUCUGAACAAUGGUUCUCAACAAGGAAGCAGCAGCUCUCUCCGAGUAAUGUCCCUUAGCAAUAAUCCUGUCGAACAGCUCUCCACCAGCGCAAAGCUCCAUGACCAAAUGCACAGAGUGCUUAUCCUCAUAAGCUCCUUUAAGCUCCACAAUGUUAGGCUGACCAGUCAGGUGAUGCAUUAUCUGCACUUCCCUUCUUACGUCCUCAAUGUCUUCUUUGUUCACAAGCUUCCUUUUGGCAAUGGUCUUGCAAGCGAACUGCUGACCUGUCGCCUUCUGCGUGCAGAGAUGCGUGACGCCGAACUGGCCUCGGCCUAGCUCUUUGCCUAGAGAGUAUGAGGAUUUUACAUCUUCCAUGGGACGGCCUAAGACGGGUCCUAUGGGGCCUUGUUUUGUUGCGGGAGGAGGAGAAGGUUUGACAUAUGGCAGCUUGAGGGAGAAGCCACUUCCCGGGCUAUUCGUUUGGCUCGUUUUGUUAACACGCCUCUCUAUGUUGUUCAUGUGAUGAGUGUUGACGCAAUGGAUGAGAUUGCUAAAGCUCGAAAAGCAGGUUCUCUUUUCCUUUUUUCUUUUUCUCUGCUCCUUGUAUGGAACAACCAUUAGUGUAACAUAUAGGUUGAUUUCUAGAGUCCUUGUCAAAAGAUAAAGAGUUACCUUUUUUCUAUAAAUGUAUUUCAGGGCAGAAGGUUAUUGGAGAGCCUGUGGUGUCCGGAUUAAUCCUCGAUGACCACUGGCUUUGGGAUCCUGACUUCACAAUUGCAUCCAAGUAAGAAAAUUCUCUCAGCUCUGCUGUUCAAAGAGGUUCCCAUGUAUUCUUUCAGGUUUUGAAGUUUUUUUUUCUCUCAAUAUUUGAGGUAUGUUAUGAGUCCACCAAUUAGACCAGUAGGCCAUGGAAAAGCCCUUCAAGAUGCCCUAUCAACAGGAAUCCUUCAGGUUUGUUUCCUUGAUAUGCGUUAAGUAGAGAAACAUGAGCUAUAGGAACUGAUCACUGCACUUUCUUGGCAUUAUCUCUGCAGCUUGUAGGAACUGAUCACUGCACAUUCAAUUCUACACAAAAAGCUCUGGGACUUGAUGAUUUCCGCAAAAUACCUAAUGGUGUUAAUGGUAUAAUCUUGUUCUCUGCGCUCAUUUGUCUCUGCUUCUGUGCUAAUCUAUUCGGAUUUAUAAAAAUACUUUGGACUUGUCCAUGUUUAGGCCUUGAAGAACGGAUGCACCUGACAUGGGACACGAUGGUGGUAAGUACUCACUCAUCAGCUAAAAUCUUCUUUCUUUACAUGUGUUUUUAAUCGGUUUAUUAUAUCAUAAUCCAGGGGUCUGGCCAAAUCUCUGCUACUGAUUUUGUUAGAAUAACCAGCACAGAGUGGUACGUUUGCCAUUAAUCACUGGUUUUCUUGAUAUCGAUGAUAUGCUUUUUGAUUUCAUUUUAUUGACUAAUGAGUUUGAUUAUCAGCGCUAAAAUUUUCAACAUAUAUCCACGGAAAGGAGCUAUCCUUCCUGGCUCGGAUGCAGACAUCAUUAUACUGAAUCCAAACUCAAGCUACGAGAUUACCUCAAAGUCUCAUCAUUCAAGAUCCGACACUAAUGUCUAUGAAGGCAGAAGAGGACAGGUAAUAUAUGGAUUUUGCAAAGCCUCCUCUUGACUGAUAUGUACAAAACAAAAGUUUCUGAUGAUGACAACAUUUUUGUUCUCAGGGAAAAGUUGAAGUGACAAUAGCGGGAGGACGAAUCGUAUGGGAAAACGAUGAGCUUAAAGUUGUUCCAGGAAGUGGAAAGUAUGUAGAGAUGCCUCCUUUCAGCUACCUUUUCGAUGGGAUUGAGAAAUCUGAUGCUAACUAUCUCUCUUCUCUCCGAGCUCCGGUGAAACGUGUCAGGUCUGAAGCUACUACUUAAGUUGCAAGUAUCACCAUCUGCAAAUUCCUCAUUUGAUUCUAUAUAAGAAUAGUUGUACAUAACAUUACUUUUUUCAACAAGAUCUGAAGAGCGAUUAUGUAUAAAAUCUGUUCUCUACUCCAGUUUUUUGUUUCUUAGUUUGUUUGAGCCUUGGUCUCUGUUCUCUAUCUCAAGAACAGAUACCAAGAUCAAAAGAAAGAUUAUGAAUAAAAGCUGUUCUAUACUCUAGAAUUGAUAAUAUUGUGUUGUAGCAUGUACUCUUCACUCUCCAACACAACGCUCAAAAGCAUCCAAAUCACAAACUUCAUUUCUAAUGGGCCUUUUAAUUGGGCUUAUAACUAUUAGACUAAUUAGUUUCAACACCGUCAAUAACUGGAUCUAAAAGACGGGUUUACCCUUUACUUUAUCCGUCUAUAUAUACAGAACAUCAUCGAAACCGCAAGUACUAGAAAUUUAUUUUCCGACAGAAGAAGAUUUAUCUGUGCGACGGUAAUAACAAAUCUCCGGCGACAAGGAGAAGCAGGAGAUAGAGAGCUAUGACGACAGUCAGUCUCCGCAAGCAAAACACGAGGCUCCCACCAGAAGUAAACCGCGUGCUCUACGUCCGCAACCUCCCCUUCAACAUAACGAGCGAGGAGAUGUACGACAUCUUCGGCAAGUACGGCGCGAUCCGCCAGAUUCGGAUCGGAUGCAACAAGGACACGAAAGGCACGGCCUUCGUCGUCUACGAGGACAUCUACGACGCGAAACAAGCCGUGGACCAUCUCUCCGGGUUCAACGUCGCGAACCGGUACCUGAUCGUGCUCUACUACCAGCACGCGAAGAUGAGCAAGAAGUUCGACCAGAAGAAGAGCGAGGAAGAGGUCGCCAAGCUGCAGGAGAAGUACGGUGUCUCCACCAAAGAUAAGUAAACACGUGUGUACUCGAUUCGAUUCUGCGAUUUAGGGUUUCAAUUGGGGAAAAAAAAAUCGAACCUUUUUUGCUUAAUCUUGGUAUGUAUGUUUGAACCAUUCAAUGAAAAAUUCCUCUUUUCAGCUCCAUGUAGCUAUUAAUGUUACAAAGUGUUGUGCUUUGAUGCAGUUGAUGAUCUGGACUGGUUAGUGUUUUGCUAAGAGGUUUAGUGUUCUGCGAUUUAGGGUUUCAAUUGGGGAAAAAAAUCGAACCUUUUUGCUUAAUCUUGGUAUGUAUGUUGAACCAAUCAAUGAAAAAUACCUUUUUUAGUUCCAAUUAGCUAUUGAUGUUACAAAGUAUUGUGCUUUGAUGCAGUUGAUGAUCUUGUAUUCAGCUUUGUAUCUUUGUUCAGGAGUGGUUAGUGUUUUUGCUAAGAGGUUAAGAACAUGUAUCACUAACACAUACAAUAGAAUUGAAAAAGAAUCUCUUAAGUACAUUAAGAAACCAGAAAAUAUAAAUGUACAAUAAAUCAAACACCUUCCCCCCAAAUCCUCAAUUAAUGAUUUUUUUUUCUCCCUGCUUGAGCCUUCUCAUCUCUUAAACGAUGUCCUCCUGUUUCAAUCAUUAGUAAUCCGAGCAUGCUUUUAAUUUUUGAUUGCCUCAUUGUUAAAAGGAAGAUGAUUUUUCUCUCGACUCAUGUUCUGCUCUCUUUUUGAUAUCUUCUCUCUUCCUCUCUACUUUCAACGUUUGGUGGUGUCAUUUAAACGAAAGGUCACGCCGCUUCUUUGGGAUAGGAUCAGGGUUUCCUUUUCUCAUCAUUGCCACGAACUCGUCGUAGUUUAUCCGACCAUCCUGCAUCAGAGAUUUUGGUUAUGUUAAUAAUGAGGU
Molecule: long non-coding RNA, 5404 nt
Filed under: Brassica napus (rape)
Lineage: Eukaryota; Viridiplantae; Streptophyta; Magnoliopsida; Brassicales; Brassicaceae
Description: long non-coding RNA (BNAP_LNC023734)
Source: RNAcentral